Molecule: ribosomal RNA, 557 nt
Filed under: uncultured Spiroplasma sp.
Lineage: Bacteria; Bacillati; Mycoplasmatota; Mollicutes; Entomoplasmatales; Spiroplasmataceae
Description: bacterial SSU rRNA
Rfam family: Bacterial small subunit ribosomal RNA
Source: RNAcentral
AUCUACCAUUUAGUGGGGAAUAACUGUUGGAAACGACAGCUAAUACCGCAUAAUAUUGCUGGAUAAUUUCCAGUAAUGAAAGGAGCUUUCAAGCUCCGCUGAUUGAUGAGGAUGCGGCGCAUUAGCUAGUUGGUAGGGUAAUGGCCUACCAAGGCAAUGAUGCGUAGCCGAUCUGAGAGGAUGAACGGCCACAUUGGGACUGAGACACGGCCCAAACUUCUACGGAAGGCAGCAGUAGGGAAUUUUUCACAAUGGGCGAAAGCCUGAUGGAGCAAUGCCGCGUGACUGAUGAAGGUCUUCGGAUUGUAAAGGUCUGUUGUAAGGGAAGAAAUGGUAAAACAGGAAAUGGUUUUAUCUAUGACGGUACCUUACCAGAAAGCCACGGCUAACUAUGUGCCNGCAGCCGCGGUAAUACAUAGGUGGCAAGCGUUAUCCGGAUUUAUUGGGCGUAAAGGGUGCGUAGACGGNUUUGCAAGUCUGANGUUAAAUUUAGGAGCUCAACUCCUAAUCGCCUUGGAAACUACAAGACUAGAGUAUANGAGAGGUUAGUGGAAUUC